RNAcentral lists this ribosomal RNA (660 nucleotides) under uncultured Actinomycetales bacterium. RNAcentral's name for it is "bacterial SSU rRNA". It matches the Rfam family "Bacterial small subunit ribosomal RNA", at positions 63 to 736 of the family's 1533-position model. Lineage: Bacteria; Bacillati; Actinomycetota; Actinomycetes; Actinomycetales. The record is from RNAcentral.
CGAACGGAAAGGCCCUGCUUGCAGGGUACUCGAGUGGCGAACGGGUGAGUAACACGUGGGUGAUCUGCCCUGCACUUCGGGAUAAGCCUGGGAAACUGGGUCUAAUACCGGAUAGGAGCCAUUUUUAGUGUGAUGGUUGGAAAGUUUUUUCGGUGUAGGAUGAGCUCGCGGCCUAUCAGCUUGUUGGUGGGGUAAUGGCCUACCAAGGCGGCGACGGGUAGCCGGCCUGAGAGGGUGGACGGCCACAUUGGGACUGAGAUACGGCCCAGACUCCUACGGGAGGCAGCAGUGGGGAAUAUUGCACAAUGGGCGCAAGCCUGAUGCAGCGACGCCGCGUGGGGGAUGACGGCCUUCGGGUUGUAAACUCCUUUCGCUAGGGACGAAGCUUUUUGUGACGGUACCUAGAUAAGAAGCACCGGCUAACUACGUGCCAGCAGCCGCGGUAAUACGUAGGGUGCGAGCGUUGUCCGGAAUUACUGGGCGUAAAGGGCUCGUAGGUGGUUUGUCGCGUCGUCUGUGAAAUUCCGGGGCUUAACUCCGGGCGUGCAGGCGAUACGGUCAUAACUUGAGUACUGUAGGGGUAACUGGAAUUCCUGGUGUAGCGGUGAAAUACGCAGAUAUCAGGAGGAACACCGAUGGCGAAGGCAGGUUACUGGGCAG